UGGGGAAUAUUGCACAAUGGGCGCAAGCCUGAUGCAGCCAUGCCGCGUGUAUGAAGAAGGUCUUCGGGUUGUAAAGUACUUUCAGCGGGGAGGAAGGGAGUAAAGUUAAUACCUUUGCUCAUUGACGUUACCCGCAGAAGAAGCACCGGCUAACUCCGUGCCAGCAGCCGCGGUAAUACGGAGGGUGCAAGCGUUAAUCGGAAUUACUGGGCGUAAAGCGCACGCAGGCGGUUUGUUAAGUCAGAUGUGAAAUCCCCGGGCUCAACCUGGGAACUGCAUUCGAAGCUGGCAGGCUAGGGUCUUGUAGAGGGGGGUAGAAUUCCAGGUGUAGCGGUGAGAUGCGUAGAGAUCUGGAGGAAUACCGGUGGCGAAGGCGGCCCCCUGGACAAAGACUGACGCUCAGGUGCGAAAGCGUGGGGAGCAAACAGG
RNAcentral lists this ribosomal RNA (429 nucleotides) under Chloroflexota bacterium. Its description in RNAcentral is "Chloroflexi bacterium partial 16S ribosomal RNA". It matches the Rfam family "Bacterial small subunit ribosomal RNA", at positions 355 to 776 of the family's 1533-position model. The record is from RNAcentral. Lineage: Bacteria; Bacillati; Chloroflexota.